Molecule: long non-coding RNA, 1700 nt
Organism: Triticum aestivum (bread wheat)
Lineage: Eukaryota; Viridiplantae; Streptophyta; Magnoliopsida; Poales; Poaceae
Exons: 3
Source: RefSeq, a predicted model, not a curated record
UCGUUAGGUUCUGUUAAUUAGGUUUGUGUUACAGGUUACUUUUUUGUGCUAAUGAUAGCAACAAUGAUGUUAGACCUACCAUAAAACUGGUAGGUUAUCGGUUGCAUUACACCUACCAUAAGAUUCAUGAUUAGCCUUAUUUUAUGGAUCUCACUUAUCAUGCAUGGGACACGCCAGGUGGAAGCCACAUGGUUGAUGGUUGUACUUGCACAUAAAUCAACUAGCCAGAUUCAUCGUUGCAAAUGGUGGCUUCAUAUGUUCAGUUAGUAUUUAGGAGCGCCACAAAGGAUGUAAGCAGAAGCAGAUAGCACAGCCUGGAACAACGUGCUGAUUAAAUAAGUGAUUCCUUACACCAGCAAUCACCGACCGCCCUGGGGGUGCAGGUGAGUUUACCACUAACAAUGAAGACACGGCUGUAGCAGCAUGGCGAGGACAGUCAUCGUGUAACGCUGAUGCACAUGCAUGCAUGAUCAAGCUAUCUGGAUCGAACACGAAAAUUGUUCCCCAUACACCAUUCAUAGAUGUAGCAAAGGUGUGUAAGUGCUUCUACUUCUGCACUAUAUACGAGGGUAGCAAAAUGUGCGUGCUGAGGUAGACGCCAUCCAAGAGCUGCACUUGGUUCUGAAAAGAGGAGACACUGAAGCUUUCAGGUCAAUAUUCAGUCAUACACGGUACACCCAAUUAGCAAAGAAAGCACAUAAACAGUUCAGGUAGAUCGGGAAGACGGUUACACCUGUUACUGAGGACCGAAGGGUGAUCAGGCUACUUGUAACAGCAAAGAAAAUUACAGUCUUGUUGCUUCAAAUCUACACAGUGGCUCUUGUCAAAGCAACUUGUCGUCCGAAACAUUGGCGGGUGUUCACUUUUCUCAACGCAUUCCGUAGCUGAAGAGUAGCAAUUGCGGGCACUUGAGUCAGACAUUGUUGAUCCGGGGAGCGGAGUUGACGUUCUGUUCAAGAAAUUGAUCUAGAACAGAGUUUUUCUGCUGAAUACUCAUAGCAUAUAGCUAGUUAGGUACAUACUUAGAUCCAAUACCCUGUGAUUGGCAUCCGGUGUUUACAGGAUCUAUGUAUAAAAUGAAAAAAUUACUCAACUCUGAUGCUGUUCAGUUCAUUGGUUUACAGACAUAGUUCAGACACGCUAGCCCGCUAACUCGAAGGCAUGAGGUUGUUAUGUUUUUUUUUCUGUUUGAGAACUAUGAGGUCGUUAUGUAAUUCACAUGAAAUGUGCCUCAAACACAUGCUCCUUGUAAUAAUAUACUGGGGGUAUCGCUCCCUAUAAUUAAUAGAAUACCAGUUGCAGAAGCAACUGAAAUUUGCAUAUCAAGCAGAUGCCACCAGAUAAACAUGUCCCUGGAACCUCCAAAGCUAAGCCAGCUGCUCCUUGUCUCUCGUCGUUUCACUACACUCAUCGAUCUCAUGAUCUUGAUCUGAAACCAAACUACACGCUCGUGCAGAUGAGUUUGUUGCUAAUAAUUCAGACAUGACAGCCUGAUGAUAAUAUGCUGAACCCCUAACAUGGAUCUCGUGCAGUGGAUCUUGCUCCCAUGGCCUAAACAUGCCACCUCCGACCUCGAGGCUUUGACCUGUGAUUUCCAAAUGUGCCCACCAAGGUAUGUCACAGCUAAAUGCUAGGUUAGCAACCCAUAAAAUAAUGGCCUGAGCAUGCAAGAAGGAUCCACCAUCAGACGAAACCACGCU